CAAGAAUGAAACUCAAAGGAAUUGACGGGGCCCGCACAAGCGGAGGAACAUGUGGUUUAAUUCGAUGAUACGCGAGGAACCUUACCCGGGCUUGAAAGUUAGUGACGGAUGCCGAAAGGUGUCUUCCCUUCGGGGCACGAAACUAGGUGCUGCAUGGUUGUCGUCAGCUCGUGCCGUGAGGUGUCGGGUUAAGUCCCAUAACGAGCGCAACCCCUAUCGUUAGUUACCAGCGCAUAAUGGCGGGGACUCUAGCGAGACUGCCGGUGUAAGCCGAGAGGAGGGUGGGGAUGACGUCAAAUCAGCACGGCCCUUACGUCCGGGGCGACACACGUGUUACAAUGGUCGGUACAGAGGGCAGCUACUUGGUGACAGGAUGCGAAUCUCGAAAGCCGGUCUCAGUUCGGAUUGGAGGCUGAAACUCGCCUCCAUGAAGUUGGAUUCGCUAGUAAUCGCGCAUCAGCCAUGGCGCGGUGAAUACGUUCCCGGGCCUUGUACACACCGCCCGUCAAGCCAUGGGAG
Molecule: ribosomal RNA, 519 nt
Filed under: uncultured Bacteroidota bacterium
Lineage: Bacteria; Pseudomonadati; Bacteroidota
Description: bacterial SSU rRNA
Rfam family: Bacterial small subunit ribosomal RNA
Source: RNAcentral